AGGAGUGGAGCCUGCGGCUUAAUUUGACUCAACACGGGAAACCUCACCAGGCCCAGACACUGGAAGGAUUGACAGAUUGAGAGCUCUUUCUUGAUUCAGUGGGUGGUGGUGCAUGGCCGUUCUUAGUUGGUGGAGCGAUUUGUCUGGUUAAUUCCGAUAACGAACGAGACUCUAGCCUACUAAAUAGACGUUAAACUUUCCAGUAUCUCGAAGGCUCACAUCUCUUGUUUCCUUACUCUAUAGCACCAAUUCACUUCGGUGUUUUGACUGUUAUGGGUGGGCAGGAGUUUGUGGUUUUUACUACUGGCGUACAUAUAUAUCUUCUUAGAGGGACAGGCGGCUUCUAGCCGCACGAGAUUGAGCAAUAACAGGUCAGUGAUGCCCUUAGAUGUUCUGGGCCG
This 401-nucleotide ribosomal RNA is filed under the name Abax parallelepipedus. RNAcentral describes it as "SSU rRNA". It matches the Rfam family "Eukaryotic small subunit ribosomal RNA", at positions 1172 to 1489 of the family's 1831-position model. Lineage: Eukaryota; Metazoa; Arthropoda; Insecta; Coleoptera; Carabidae. The record is from RNAcentral.